AAGUAAAAGUCGUAACAAGGUCUCCGUUGGUGAACCAGCGGAGGGAUCAUUACCGAGUUAUACAACUCCCAAACCCACUGUGAACCUUACCUCAGUUGCCUCGGCGGGAACGCCCCGGCCGCCUGCCCCCGCGCCGGCGCCGGACCCAGGCGCCCGCCGCAGGGACCCCAAACUCUCUUGCAUUACGCCCAGCGGGCGGAAUUUCUUCUCUGAGUUGCACAAGCAAAAACAAAUGAAUCAAAACUUUCAACAACGGAUCUCUUGGUUCUGGCAUCGAUGAAGAACGCAGCGAAAUGCGAUAAGUAAUGUGAAUUGCAGAAUUCAGUGAAUCAUCGAAUCUUUGAACGCACAUUGCGCCCGCCAGCAUUCUGGCGGGCAUGCCUGUUCGAGCGUCAUUUCAACCCUCGAGCCCCCCCCGGGGGCCUCGGUGUUGGGGGACGGCACACCAGCCGCCCCCGAAAUGCAGUGGCGACCCCGCCGCAGCCUCCCCUGCGUAGUAGCACACACCUCGCACCGGAGCGCGGAGGCGGUCACGCCGUAAAACGCCCAACUUUCUUAGAGUUGACCUCGGAUCAGGUAGGAAUACCCGCUGAACUUAAGCAUAUCAAUAAGCGGAGGAG
RNAcentral lists this ribosomal RNA (620 nucleotides) under Purpureocillium lilacinum. RNAcentral describes it as "eukaryotic LSU rRNA". The stretch from base 242 to 395 matches the Rfam family "5.8S ribosomal RNA". The record is from RNAcentral. Lineage: Eukaryota; Fungi; Ascomycota; Sordariomycetes; Hypocreales; Ophiocordycipitaceae.